This 376-nucleotide ribosomal RNA is filed under the name uncultured bacterium. RNAcentral describes it as "bacterial SSU rRNA". It matches the Rfam family "Bacterial small subunit ribosomal RNA", at positions 524 to 898 of the family's 1533-position model. The record is from RNAcentral. RNAcentral also lists the same sequence under 1 other name.
UACGGAGGGUGCGAGCGUUAUUCGGAAUUACUGGGCGUAAAGCGCGUGUAGGCGGGGGGACAAGUCUGAUGUGAAAGCCCUGGGCUUAACCUGGGAAGCGCAUUGGAAACUGUUUUUCUUGAGUACUGGAGAGGAAGGGGGAAUUCCCGGUGUAGAGGUGAAAUUCGUAGAGAUCGGGAGGAAUACCAGUGGCGUAGGCGCCCUUCUGGACGGUAACUGACGCUGAGACGCGAAAGCGUGGGGAGCAAACAGGAUUAGAUACCCUGGUAGUCCACGCUGUAAACGAUGAUCACUAGGUGUAGCGGGUACUCAUUCCUGCUGUGCCGCAGCUAACGCGUUAAGUGAUCCGCCUGGGGAUUACGGUCGCAAGACUAAA